This 87-nucleotide small RNA is filed under the name Flavobacterium sp. A45. Its description in RNAcentral is "Flavo-1 RNA". It matches the Rfam family "Flavo-1 RNA". The record is from Rfam by way of RNAcentral. Lineage: Bacteria; Pseudomonadati; Bacteroidota; Flavobacteriia; Flavobacteriales; Flavobacteriaceae.
GUCUAGCCCCGAUGGAAGCAAAUAUCCUUUCGGGUCUCGUUUUUUUUUAACGAGACCCAAAAGAUAUUGUGGACAGCGGGACAACUG